Molecule: ribosomal RNA, 253 nt
Filed under: uncultured bacterium
Lineage: Bacteria
Description: partial 16S ribosomal RNA
Rfam family: Bacterial small subunit ribosomal RNA
Source: RNAcentral
UACAGAGGGUGCAAACGUUGCUCGGAAUUACUGGGCGUAAAGCGCGUGUAGGCGGACUUUCAAGUCGGACGUGAAAUCCCUAAGCUCAACUUAGGAACUGCAUUCGAAACUGAAGGCCUAGAGUAGUGGAGAGGGAAGCAGAAUUCCUGGUGUAGAGGUGAAAUUCGUAGAUAUCAGGAGGAACACCGGUGGCGAAGGCGGCUUCCUGGCCACUUACUGACGCUGAGACGCGAAAGCGUGGGGAGCAAACAGG